This 433-nucleotide ribosomal RNA is filed under the name uncultured Actinomycetes bacterium. RNAcentral describes it as "bacterial SSU rRNA". It matches the Rfam family "Bacterial small subunit ribosomal RNA", at positions 351 to 796 of the family's 1533-position model. Lineage: Bacteria; Bacillati; Actinomycetota; Actinomycetes. The record is from RNAcentral.
GCAGUGGGGAAUAUUGCGCAAUGGGCGAAAGCCUGACGCAGCGACGCAGCGUGAGGGACGAAGGCCUUCGGGUUGUAAACCUCUUUCAGCGGGGACGAAGCGAAAGUGACGGUACCCGCAGAAGAAGCACCGGCUAACUACGUGCCAGCAGCCGCGGUAAUACGUAGGGUGCAAGCAUUGUCCGGAUUUAUUGGGCGUAAAGAGCUCGUAGGCGGCUUGUCACGUCGGAUGUGAAAACUCGGGGCUCAACCCCGAGCCUGCAUUCGAUACGGGCUAGCUAGAGUGUUGCAGGGGAGACUGGAAUUCCUGGUGUAGCGGUGAAAUGCGCAGAUAUCAGGAGGAACACCGGUGGCGAAGGCGGGUCUCUGGGCAACUACUGACGCUGAGGAGCGAAAGCGUGGGGAGCGAACAGGAUUAGAUACCCGAGUAGUCC